AGAGUUUGAUCCUGGCUCAGGAUGAACGCUGGCGGCGUGCUUAACACAUGCAAGUCGAGCGAGAAAAAUUUCUUCGGAAGUUUUUCUAGCGGCGGACGGGUGAGUAACACGUGGGCAACCUGCCUUAUAGAGGGGAAUAGCCUUCCGAAAGGAAGAUUAAUACCGCAUAACAUUAUUGAAAGGCAUCUUUUAAUAAUCAAAGGAGUAGUCCGCUAUAAGAUGGGCCCGCGGCGCAUUAGCUAGUUGGUGAGGUAACGGCUCACUAAGGUGACGAUGCGUAGCCGACCUGAGAGGGUGAUCGGCCACAUUGGAACUGAGACACGGUCCAGACUCCUACGGGAGGCAGCAGUGGGGAAUAUUGCACAAUGGGGGAAACCCUGAUGCAGCAACGCCGCGUGAGUGAUGAAGGUCUUCGGAUUGUAAAGCUCUGUCUUUAGGGACGAUAAUGACGGUACCUAAGGAGGAAGCCACGGCUAACUACGUGCCAGCAGCCGCGGUAAUACGUAGGUGGCAAGCGUUAUCCGGAUUUACUGGGCGUAAAGGGAGCGUAGGCGGAUACUUAAGUGGGAUGUGAAAUACCCGAGCUUAACUUGGGUGCUGCAUUCCAAACUGGGUAUCUAGAGUGCAGGAGAGGAGAAUGGAAUUCCUAGUGUAGCGGUGAAAUGCGUAGAGAUUAGGAAGAACACCAGUGGCGAAGGCGAUUCUCUGGACUGUAACUGACGCUGAGGCUCGAAAGCGUGGGGAGCAAACAGGAUUAGACACCCUGGUAGUCCACGCUGUAAACGAUGACUACUAGGUGCUGGGGAGCACAGCUCUUCGGUGCCGCCGCAAACGCAUUAAGUAGUCCACCUGGGGAGUACGUUCGCAAGAAUGAAACUCAAAGGAAUUGACGGGGACCCGCACAAGCGGUGGAGCAUGUGGUUUAAUUCGAAGCAACGCGAAGAACCUUACCAAGUCUCGACAUCGAUCUGACCGGUCUGUAAUGAGACCUUUCCUUCGGGACAGAGAAGACAGGUGGUGCAUGGUUGUCGUCAGCUCGUGUCGUGAGAUGUUGGGUUAAGUCCCGCAACGAGCGCAACCCUUAUCAUUAGUAGCCAGCGGUUUGGCCGGGCACUCUGAUGAGACUGCCAGGGAUAACCUGGAGGAAGGUGGGGAUGACGUCAAAUCAUCAUGCCCCUUAUGACUUGGGCUACACACGUGCUACAAUGGCGUAAACAAAGGGAGGCAGAGCCGUGAGGCCGAGCAAAUCUCAAAAAUAACGUCUCAGUUCGGAUUGUAGUCUGCAACUCGACUACAUGAAGCUGGAAUCGCUAGUAAUCGCGAAUCAGCAUGUCGCGGUGAAUACGUUCCCGGGUCUUGCACACACCGCCCGUCA
This 1375-nucleotide ribosomal RNA is filed under the name uncultured bacterium. Its description in RNAcentral is "16S ribosomal RNA". It matches the Rfam family "Bacterial small subunit ribosomal RNA". The record is from RNAcentral.